GUACCGUACAAACGUUAUUCGGAAUCACUGGGCUUAAAGGGUGCGUAGGCGGUGCGGUCAGUUGGGUGUGAAAUCCCUCGGCUCAACCGAGGAACUGCGCCCAAUACUGCCGCACUCGAGGGAGACAGAGGUAAGCGGAACUGAUGGUGGAGCGGUGAAAUGCGUUGAUAUCAUCAGGAACACCGGUAGCGAAGGCGGCUUACUGGGUCUCUUCUGACGCUGAGGCACGAAAGCUAGGGGUAGCGAACGGGAUUAGAUACCCCGGUAGUCCUAGCUGUAAACGAUGAGCACUUGGUCGGAGACUCCUCCAUAGGUUUCCGGUCGUAGCGAAAGUGUUAAGUGCUCCGCCUGGGGAGUAUGGUCGCAAGGCUG
This 372-nucleotide ribosomal RNA is filed under the name uncultured organism. Its description in RNAcentral is "partial 16S ribosomal RNA". It matches the Rfam family "Bacterial small subunit ribosomal RNA", at positions 527 to 896 of the family's 1533-position model. The record is from RNAcentral.